CAGUCGCCGCGGGAAUACGUAGGGUGCAAGCGUUAAUCGGAAUUACUGGGCGUAAAGCGUGCGCAGGCGGUCCGCUAAGACAGAUGUGAAAUCCCCGGGCUUAACCUGGGAACUGCAUUUGUGACUGGCGGGCUAGAGUAUGGCAGGGGGGGGUAGAAUUCCACGUGUAGCAGUGAAAUGCGUAGAGAUGUGGAGGAAUACCGAUGGCGAAGGCAGCCCCCUGGGCCAAUACUGACGCUCAUGCACGAAAGCGUGGGGAGCAAACAGGAUUAGAUACCCGCGUAGUCCCUGUCUCUUAUAC
This 301-nucleotide ribosomal RNA is filed under the name uncultured bacterium. RNAcentral describes it as "partial 16S ribosomal RNA". It matches the Rfam family "Bacterial small subunit ribosomal RNA", at positions 509 to 807 of the family's 1533-position model. The record is from RNAcentral.